GGAACCUUACCAGCUUUUGACAUGUCCGGUUUGAUCGGCAGAGAUGCCUUUCUUCAGUUCGGCUGGCCGGAACACAGGUGCUGCAUGGCUGUCGUCAGCUCGUGUCGUGAGAUGUUGGGUUAAGUCCCGCAACGAGCGCAACCCUCGCCCCUAGUUGCCAUCAUUCAGUUGGGAACUCUAGGGGGACUGCCGGUGAUAAGCCGCGAGGAAGGUGGGGAUGACGUCAAGUCCUCAUGGCCCUUACAGGCUGGGCUACACACGUGCUACAAUGGCGGUGACAAUGGGCAGCGAAGGGGUGACCUGGAGCUAAUCCCAAAAUGCCUUCUCAGUUCAGAUUGUACUCUGCAACUCGAGUACCAUGAAGGUGGAAUCGCUAGUAAUCGUGGAUCAGCA
This 393-nucleotide ribosomal RNA is filed under the name Allobosea sp. CAS22. RNAcentral describes it as "bacterial SSU rRNA". It matches the Rfam family "Bacterial small subunit ribosomal RNA", at positions 965 to 1354 of the family's 1533-position model. The record is from RNAcentral. Lineage: Bacteria; Pseudomonadati; Pseudomonadota; Alphaproteobacteria; Hyphomicrobiales; Alloboseaceae.